GGGCUAGUUCUGGCAGUGCAGUUAUUAAAAUUGGAAUGAUACAGAGAUUAGCAUGGCCUCUGUAUAAAGAUGACAGCAAAUCUGUGAAGUGUUCAACAUUUUU
Molecule: small nuclear RNA, 103 nt
Filed under: Mus caroli (Ryukyu mouse)
Lineage: Eukaryota; Metazoa; Chordata; Mammalia; Rodentia; Muridae
Source: RNAcentral